RNAcentral lists this ribosomal RNA (495 nucleotides) under uncultured bacterium. RNAcentral's name for it is "partial 16S ribosomal RNA". It matches the Rfam family "Bacterial small subunit ribosomal RNA", at positions 28 to 507 of the family's 1533-position model. The record is from RNAcentral.
GACGAACGCUGGCGGCGUGCCUAAUACAUGCAAGUAGAACGCUGAAGGAGGAGCUUGCUUCUCUGGAUGAGUUGCGAACGGGUGAGUAACGCGUAGGUAACCUGCCUGGUAGCGGGGGAUAACUAUUGGAAACGAUAGCUAAUACCGCAUAAUAGCAGUUGUUGCAUGACAACUGUUUGAAAGGUGCAAUUGCACCACUACCAGAUGGACCUGCGUUGUAUUAGCUAGUUGGUGGGGUAACGGCUCACCAAGGCGACGAUACAUAGCCGACCUGAGAGGGUGAUCGGCCACACUGGGACUGAGACACGGCCCAGACUCCUACGGGAGGCAGCAGUAGGGAAUCUUCGGCAAUGGACGGAAGUCUGACCGAGCAACGCCGCGUGAGUGAAGAAGGUUUUCGGAUCGCAAAGCUCUGUUGUAAGAGAAGAACGAGUGUGAGAGUGGAAAGUUCACACUGUGACGGUAUCUUACCAGAAAGGGACGGCUAACUACGUG